This 253-nucleotide ribosomal RNA is filed under the name uncultured bacterium. RNAcentral describes it as "partial 16S ribosomal RNA". It matches the Rfam family "Bacterial small subunit ribosomal RNA", at positions 524 to 776 of the family's 1533-position model. The record is from RNAcentral.
UACGUAGGGUGCAAGCGUUGUCCGGAAUUAUUGGGCGUAAAGAGCUCGUAGGCGGUCUGUCGCGUCGGCUGUGAAAUCCCGAGGCUCAACCUCGGGUCUGCAGUCGAUACGGGCAAACUAGAGUAUUGCGGGGGAGACUGGAAUUCCUGGUGUAGCGGUGAAAUGCGCAGAUAUCAGGAGGAACACCGGUGGCGAAGGCGGGUCUCUGGGCAACAACUGACGCUGAGGAGCGAAAGCGUGGGGAGCGAACAGG